AGCGAACGCUGGCGGCAGGCCUAACACAUGCAAGUCGAACGGCCGCACCGUGAUAGCUUGCUCUUACGUGUGGCGAGCGGCGGACGGGUGAGGAAGACAUCGGAUUCUACUUUUUCGUGGGUGCUAACGUCGGGAGAGUUCCGCUGAUACCGCAUACAACCUACGUGUGACGGCAGGGGUUCUUCGGACAUUCGGCGUUUGAGUGAGGCGCUGUCGGGUAACCAGGUGGGCGGGGUAAAGGCCCACCAAGGCGACGAUCCGUAGCUGGUCUGAGAGGAUGAUCAGCCACAUUGGGACGGAGACACGGCCCGAAAUCCUACGGGAUGGGGCAGAGGGGAAUCUUGCGCAAUGGGCGAAGGCCUGACGCAGCCAUGCCGUGUGAAUGAUGAAGGUCGUAGGAUUGAAAAAUUCUUUCACCGGGGACGAUAAUGACGGUACCCGGAGAAGAAGCCCCGGCUAACUUCGUG
RNAcentral lists this ribosomal RNA (467 nucleotides) under uncultured bacterium. RNAcentral describes it as "partial 16S ribosomal RNA". It matches the Rfam family "Bacterial small subunit ribosomal RNA", at positions 29 to 507 of the family's 1533-position model. The record is from RNAcentral.